Molecule: ribosomal RNA, 253 nt
Filed under: uncultured bacterium
Lineage: Bacteria
Description: partial 16S ribosomal RNA
Rfam family: Bacterial small subunit ribosomal RNA
Source: RNAcentral
GACGAAGGAUGCAAGCGUUAUCCGGAUUCGUUGGGUUUAAAGGGAGCGUAGGUGGCCUUAUAAGUCAGUGGUGAAAUCCCGCAGCUUAACUGUGGAAUUGCCAUUGAUACUGUAGGGCUUGAGUACAGAUGCCGUUGGCGGAAUAUGACAUGUAGUGGUGAAAUACAUAGAGAUGUCAUAGAACACCGAUUGCGAAGGCAGCUGACGAAACUGUAACUGACACUGAGGCUCGAAAGUGCGGGGAUCAAACAGG